GGCGGGUUAAUGGGUGGAUCGGGUCGACCCGAAUACAAAGAUUCGGAUUCUACAACUUGCUUCACCAACCAUUGCCACGUGGCACAAUCAUGGCCAUUGAAUCAUGAACGGUUGAGAUUUAGUCAAAAUUGCCAGCUAUCCCAUGCACUCAUAUCUAUUGUAAGCUCAUUUCAUCAUCCAAUCAGUGCUCGGUCAAUAGGAAAAGUCAACUUUUUUUACACAAGCCCAAUUUUAAGUCGAUCUUGACUGAUCUUAAGGUUUUC
This 263-nucleotide long non-coding RNA is filed under the name Citrus sinensis (sweet orange). RNAcentral's name for it is "long non-coding RNA (CSIN_LNC004677)". Lineage: Eukaryota; Viridiplantae; Streptophyta; Magnoliopsida; Sapindales; Rutaceae. The record is from RNAcentral.